GAUGAACGCUGGCGGCGUGCCUAAUACAUGCAAGACGAGCGAACAGACGAGGAGCUUGCUCCUCUGACGUUAGCGGCGGACGGGUGAGUAACACGUGGAUAACCUACCUAUAAGACUGGGAUAACUUCGGGAAACCGGAGCUAAUACCGGAUAAUAUAUUGAACCGCAUGGUUCAAUAGUGAAAGACGGUUUUGCUGUCACUUAUAGAUGGAUCCGCGCCGCAUUAGCUAGUUGGUAAGGUAACGGCUUACCAAGGCGACGAUGCGUAGCCGACCUGAGAGGGUGAUCGGCCACACUGGAACUGAGACACGGUCCAGACUCCUACGGGAGGCAGCAGUAGGGAAUCUUCCGCAAUGGGCGAAAGCCUGACGGAGCAACGCCGCGUGAGUGAUGAAGGUCUUCGGAUCGUAAAACUCUGUUAUUAGGGAAGAACAAAUGUGUAAGUAACUAUGCACGUCUUGACGGUACCUAAUCAGAAAGCCACGGCUAACUACGUG
RNAcentral lists this ribosomal RNA (497 nucleotides) under uncultured bacterium. Its description in RNAcentral is "partial 16S ribosomal RNA". It matches the Rfam family "Bacterial small subunit ribosomal RNA", at positions 28 to 507 of the family's 1533-position model. The record is from RNAcentral.